AACGCGAAGAACCUUACCUGGGUUUGACAUGGAUCGGGAGCGCUCAGAGAUGGGUGUGCCUCUUUUGGGGUCGGUUCACAGGUGGUGCAUGGCUGUCGUCAGCUCGUGUCGUGAGAUGUUGGGUUAAGUCCCGCAACGAGCGCAACCCUUGUUCACUGUUGCCAGCACGUUAUGGUGGGGACUCAGUGGAGACCGCCGGGGUCAACUCGGAGGAAGGUGGGGAUGACGUCAAGUCAUCAUGCCCCUCAUGUCCGGGGCUUCACGCAUGCUACAAUGGCUGGUACAGAGAGUGGCGAGCCUGUGAGGGUGAGCGAAUCUCGGAAAGCCGGUCUCAGUUCGGAUUGGGGUCUGCAACUCGACCUCAUGAAGCCGGAGUCGCUAGUAAUCGCAGAUCAGCAACGCUGCGGUGAAUACGUUCCCGGGCCUUGUACACACCG
This 437-nucleotide ribosomal RNA is filed under the name uncultured Propionibacterium sp. RNAcentral describes it as "bacterial SSU rRNA". It matches the Rfam family "Bacterial small subunit ribosomal RNA", at positions 958 to 1392 of the family's 1533-position model. Lineage: Bacteria; Bacillati; Actinomycetota; Actinomycetes; Propionibacteriales; Propionibacteriaceae. The record is from RNAcentral.